AUACUCUGGUUUCUUUUCAGAUAGUAUAAGUCUUUUGCCUUUUACUAAAGAGUUCUGUGGAGGGGAGCCCUCAGAGUUUUAAAUAAUUUUUUAUAACCCUGAAUUCAGAAGGGCU
This is a small nuclear RNA of Hemiscyllium ocellatum (epaulette shark), 115 nucleotides long. RefSeq annotates it as U5 spliceosomal RNA. The record is from RefSeq and is a predicted model, not a curated record. Lineage: Eukaryota; Metazoa; Chordata; Chondrichthyes; Orectolobiformes; Hemiscylliidae. The transcript has a single exon.